CACGUAUGGUUCAUUCCUUGGAGUUAGCAGCUUCACUACCAUGAGAUCGGGAGGAAGUGUCUGCAUGCCACAAGGUACCUGUCCUGCCUCUCUGCUGAAGUCAAUUGCCCUGUGUAGCAUCAGCAUCAUCAGUGUAUUUGCACCUGUAGUUCUGCUGCCAUCCUGACAUGUCAGAUGAAACCACCAGCAGCAAGAAGAAGCACAACUGAGUUACUGGGAAGCCUCCACUGACUCCAUUCUUGUCUGACAGAUGCUGGAAGUGACAUGGGAAUGAUCUGACCAGCUUUCUACCUGCAGAACAAUUCUACUCUUCAAACAACAUUUCCCAACAGCCCAGCAUGCCCCAGUGUGCUGUGUGGUUGUGCAUCCCACUCAGAGCGCUUGUGUUGUCCCUCCUGUGCUGCUUACAGCUGCCUUUUCUGCCAGCUGGCCAAGGC
Molecule: long non-coding RNA, 437 nt
Organism: Motacilla alba alba
Lineage: Eukaryota; Metazoa; Chordata; Aves; Passeriformes; Motacillidae
Exons: 4
Source: RefSeq, a predicted model, not a curated record